UACGUAGGGUGCAAGCGUUGUCCGGAAUUAUUGGGCGUAAAGAGCUUGUAGGCGGUUUGUCGCGUCUGCUGUGAAAUUUCGGGGCUCAACCCCGAACUUGCAGUGGGUACGGGCAGACUAGAGUGUGGUAGGGGAGACUGGAAUUCCUGGUGUAGCGGUGAAAUGCGCAGAUAUCAGGAGGAACACCGGUGGCGAAGGCGGGUCUCUGGGCCGAUAUUGACGCUGAGGAGCGAAAGCGUGGGGAGCAAACAGG
This 253-nucleotide ribosomal RNA is filed under the name uncultured bacterium. Its description in RNAcentral is "partial 16S ribosomal RNA". It matches the Rfam family "Bacterial small subunit ribosomal RNA", at positions 524 to 776 of the family's 1533-position model. The record is from RNAcentral.